RNAcentral lists this ribosomal RNA (292 nucleotides) under uncultured bacterium. RNAcentral describes it as "partial 16S ribosomal RNA". It matches the Rfam family "Bacterial small subunit ribosomal RNA", at positions 505 to 796 of the family's 1533-position model. The record is from RNAcentral.
GUGUCAGCAGCCGCGGUAAUACGUAGGGUGCGAGCGUUAAUCGGAAUUACUGGGCGUAAAGCGUGCGCAGGCGGCGCGUUAAGACAGGUGUGAAAGCCCCGAGCUUAACUUGGGAAUUGCGCUUGUGACUGGCGUGCUGGAGUGUGGCAGAGGGAGGUGGAAUUCCACGUGUAGCAGUGAAAUGCGUAGAGAUGUGGAGGAACACCGAUGGCGAAGGCAGCCUCCUGGGCCAGCACUGACGCUCAUGCACGAAAGCGUGGGGAGCAAACAGGAUUAGAUACCCUGGUAGUCC